AGCAGUGAGCCUCGCCCAACUGUUAACGUUUUGAACGGUAGAAAUACAGGCUUGGUGUUUCAAAAUCACAGUACAAGCGGUUUCUAACUCAUACAGAAAUUCAACAUGAAGUGAAGGGCGAAACAUUUGUGCAACAUAGCUAAGCCCUUAUUGUUGUCUAGCUAAUAUUAGCCACGAUGCUAUCGCUAGCAUCACCGCUAACGCUAACUUUAGCCAAGUUGACUGACAAAAGAACCACUAGUUAACCAAUCAGUGGCUAGCUUUAAUCUUUAUACUGGAUAGGCUGGAACUGACAGUCUGGCUCGUUUGAAUGUGCAUGUAGGCUACCUGUAAGUUAUAAACCACAGGUUACACACACUAAACAAACUUUAUCUUUAUUAAUGAGUAAGCUUGAAUUAAACUUUUACACAUUACCUUUGAUCAUACGUUGCUGCUAAUAUUUAACAGUAGUGAGUCACUUGUGUAAUGCAGGCACUACAGGAUCGAUGCUUUAUCUUAGGUAUUCAUAUAUUAUAUCUGUUAAAGCAGAAUUUUGCCAUCUACUGUAUUUUUUUUUGUUUUGUUUGUAGGUCUGCUAGUUUGAACCCACUGUCAGUUUGUACAGUGGCACAGAAGACCCUAACAUAUUGGUUCCUCUCUUAGACAAAGAGAACAUCAAUCCAGCCCUGCGCUUUGGUUGGUAAGUAGAAAUAUUGGAACUGAAAUGGACAACAGACCACGUAACUUGACUGUGGAUAACUGUCUAGCAGACUUUUCAUUUUGUUUAGAAAAAUGCCAUUCACACAUGAUUGACACCAGCCGAUGCUUUAUUUUAUGUAUUGUGCUGUAAAGACUAUUGCAUGUUCUCAAGUCCUAAGAGGCAAUAAGAUAUUGAAGGGACACAAUUUUGCCUUGUUGACACCAAAGUCAGUACUGUCACACAACUAAGUUUCUUAAGCAACUUAAAUUCAUUUAUUUAAGACACUUUAACUUCUGGAAAAUUCAGAAUCUUCAAUGAGACUUUGAUAAUAAAUAAGGAAAUAAAUUGUCCACCCUGAAAAGGACUUGGGAUUUUAAUGAGCUGUGAGGUUGGUUUUCUGACGUGAACUGAAAAUCUCAUUAUUUCUCUCUCCUUCACCGUCCUUCCACUCCUCCCGACCUCCUCUUUCCUCCUUCCCUAACCGCAAACCAUCACUGUUGGUGAGUCUGUGGCGACUCUGCAGUAAGUUCACACACAUGAAUGAAAUGUUACCACAGUGUAAAUCCAGCAACAACUGGAAAUGCAGUAUUAAUAGUUGUCCUGCUGUCCAUCUCCUCUCCUCUAUCAAAGUGGCUCUCUGUCUUUGGAAGUUUGAAAACUUUGCUGACUGUGAACAAGUGUAAAAGUAAUACCACUGCACAUGUUGUAUUAAUUCUCCCUGAUUCACAGAUAAUUGUACAUAUACAUAUAUAUAAUAUUCAUCAUCUCUGGUGUACCAAAAACUUCUGUUUUGCCUUAGACAUAUAUAAUAUCCUCACAGGCUUGACAAAAAUAAAUGGAAUAGUUUUGAAACAUAAA
Long non-coding RNA from Siniperca chuatsi (mandarin fish), 1537 nucleotides. RefSeq lists it as uncharacterized. The transcript has 2 exons. The record is from RefSeq and is a predicted model, not a curated record. NCBI's taxonomy places the organism in Eukaryota, Metazoa, Chordata, Actinopteri, Centrarchiformes, Sinipercidae.